Molecule: long non-coding RNA, 303 nt
Filed under: Polistes fuscatus (common paper wasp)
Lineage: Eukaryota; Metazoa; Arthropoda; Insecta; Hymenoptera; Vespidae
Description: uncharacterized LOC122518660
Source: RNAcentral
GACUUAAAAUUUUUUGACUCACUGCGUAAGAAGUUUUACGAUGGCUCCAAAUACAAAACACUCCUACUUCGUAGCAAGUAUUAUAGUCUGACGAUCGAAGAGUUCCUCGAUUUGGUCUGGUUUGUUUUCCUGGAUCUGAUCGGAAAUUCUAAUUAUUAAAUGACAAUAAACUUAUCAUAGAGUUGAUGGUUUAUACUGAAAAAUAAAAAACAAGAAUCUGUUAAAAGUGUUAGAAGCAAGAUAAUUUUCUACAAAAGAAUAACGUUGGAUAUGAUUGAUAGAAAAUUGAGUUAAAGGAUUGGA